GAUGAAGAACGUAGCGAAAUGCGAUAAGGAGUGUGAAUUGCAGAAUUCAGUGAAUCAUCGAAUCUUUGAACGCACAUUGCGCCCUUUGGUAUUCCAAAGGGCAUGCCUGUUCGAGCGUCAUUUGUACCCUCAAGCUUUGCUUGGUGUUGGGCGUCUUGUCUCUAGCUUUGCUGGAGACUCGCCUUAAAGUAAUUGGCAGCCGGCCUACUGGUUUCGGAGCGCAGCACAAGUCGCACUCUCUAUCAGCAAAGGUCUAGCAUCCACUAAGCCUUUUUUUCAACUUUUGACCUCGGAUCGGGUAGGGAUACCCGCUGAACUUAAGCAUAUCAAUAAGCGGAGGA
This 341-nucleotide unclassified non-coding RNA is filed under the name soil metagenome. RNAcentral describes it as "partial contains 5.8S ribosomal RNA, internal transcribed spacer 2, and large subunit ribosomal RNA". The stretch from base 1 to 120 matches the Rfam family "5.8S ribosomal RNA", at positions 35 to 154 of the family's 154-position model. The record is from RNAcentral.